RNAcentral lists this non-coding RNA (21 nucleotides) under Caenorhabditis elegans. The record is from RNAcentral. Lineage: Eukaryota; Metazoa; Nematoda; Chromadorea; Rhabditida; Rhabditidae.
UUCGAUUGUUUCAUUCAACAU